Molecule: ribosomal RNA, 449 nt
Filed under: uncultured bacterium
Lineage: Bacteria
Description: bacterial SSU rRNA
Rfam family: Bacterial small subunit ribosomal RNA
Source: RNAcentral
UCGAGAAUCAUUCGCAAUGGGCGAAAGCCUGACGAUGCGACGCCGUGUGUGUGAUGAAGGCCUUCGGGUCGUAAAGCACUUUCGCUUGGGAACAAGAGAAGCCGGAUAAUACCCGGCUAAUUUGAGGGUACCAGGUAAAGAAGCACCGGCUAACUACGUGCCAGCAGCUGCGGUAAUACGUAGGGUGCAAGCAUUAAUCGGAAUUAUUGGGCGUAUAGGGCGCGUAGGCGGACUUUCAAGUCGGAUGUGAAAUCCUAGGGCUCAACCCUAGAACUGCAUCCGAAACUGGAAGUCUAGAGGGUAGGCGGAGAAAACGGAAUUCCACAAGUAGCGGUGAAAUGCGUAGAUAUGUGGAAGAACACCGGUGGCGAAAGCGGUUUUCUAGCUUAUUCCUGACGCUGAGGCGCGAAAGCAAGGGGAUCAAACAGGAUUAGAUACCCCCGUAGUCC